RNAcentral lists this ribosomal RNA (253 nucleotides) under uncultured bacterium. RNAcentral describes it as "partial 16S ribosomal RNA". It matches the Rfam family "Bacterial small subunit ribosomal RNA", at positions 524 to 776 of the family's 1533-position model. The record is from RNAcentral.
UACGGGGGGGGCAAGCGUUGUUCGGAAUUACUGGGCGUAAAGGGCUCGUAGGCGGCCAACUAAGUCAGACGUGAAAUCCUGGAGCUCAACUCCAGAACUGCCUUUGAUACUGGCGAUCUCGAGUCCGGGAGAGGUGAGUGGAACUGCGAGUGUAGAGGUGAAAUUCGUAGAUAUUCGCAAGAACACCAGUGGCGAAGGCGGCUCACUGGCCCGGUACUGACGCUGAGGUGCGAAAGCGUGGGGAGCAAACAGG